RNAcentral lists this ribosomal RNA (303 nucleotides) under uncultured bacterium. RNAcentral's name for it is "partial 16S ribosomal RNA". It matches the Rfam family "Bacterial small subunit ribosomal RNA", at positions 507 to 808 of the family's 1533-position model. The record is from RNAcentral.
AGCAGUCGCCACGGUAAUACGUAGGUGGCAAGCGUUGUCCGGAAUUAUUGGGCGUAAAGGGCUCGCAGGCGGUUUCUUAAGUCUGAUGUGAAAGCCCCCGGCUCAACCGGGGAGGGUCAUUGGAAACUGGGAAACUUGAGUGCAGAAGAGGAGAGUGAAUUCCACGUGUAGCGGUGAAAUGCGUAGAGAUGUGGAGGAACACCAGUGGCGAAGGCGACUCUCUGGUCUGUAACUGACGCUGAGGAGCGAAAGCGUGGGGAGCGAACAGGAUUAGAUACCCCGGUAGUCCCUGUCUCUUAUACA